ACUUGGUUCACAUCAUUUUUUUUGUUAGAAAAUUCGUUCUAUAAUCGACAUUCUGACUGAACCAUAAUCACAAAGCGCAAGGGCUAAUAGCUGAGAAGUGCAAUUUUUUUGGUUCUUUGUGUAGUUAGGAGAAAUAUCCUACUUCAUACUCAAGUUAUCUUCAAUCUCUUAAUGUCUUAUAAAUUGGAUAUUUAACCAUUUAAGCAAAUUGAAGAAAAGACGAAAGAGUGGUUAAUCGUUAAAUUUUUUGGAUGUUCUUUACAGAUAGCGGAAUACUCCUACUCACUAGCUUUGCACCUCAGAUAAUAGCCUUACUGUCGUUUCUGUAAUCAUUUUCUUUUAAAAUCGUCUGGGAGAGUAGUCCUAUCUAAAGGAUCGGAUGCCAUCUUGGCCAAUUUGGAGUGACGACAAAACAAUCCGAAGCUU
This is a long non-coding RNA of Drosophila albomicans, 426 nucleotides long. RefSeq lists it as uncharacterized. The record is from RefSeq and is a predicted model, not a curated record. NCBI's taxonomy places the organism in Eukaryota, Metazoa, Arthropoda, Insecta, Diptera, Drosophilidae. The transcript is spliced from 3 exons.